CUAAUAAAGUUACCUAUUUUUUUUUAAGUUAUGAGUUAUGACAGAGAUUUAAAUUUCGUGGCAUUUAAAUCGUGUUGUGUGUUGGUCUGCAAACACCAUCAUGCAUAAUCGUGUUGUGUGUUGGUCUGCAUUUAAAUUUCGUGACAUUUAAAUCGUGUUGUGUGUUGGAAAAAUAAUGCAAGACAUGCAUGACAUGCAAGAAUCUAGCAAUAGCACACCUGCUACCUCACAUGCAUGCCAAAGAAAAGUAUGGGAUCUGUCAGCUUUCUCACAUGCAUCUCGGAUCAUGAAAAGGUUUAGACGGUGAAGAUAUGCGUUGUGGAUGGAGACAUGCGUUGUGGAUGGAACUUGAAUGUCAAAGCC
RNAcentral lists this long non-coding RNA (363 nucleotides) under Hordeum vulgare. RNAcentral describes it as "long non-coding RNA (HVUL_LNC002294)". Lineage: Eukaryota; Viridiplantae; Streptophyta; Magnoliopsida; Poales; Poaceae. The record is from RNAcentral.